This is a non-coding RNA of Podarcis muralis (Common wall lizard), 379 nucleotides long. The record is from RefSeq and is a predicted model, not a curated record. Lineage: Eukaryota; Metazoa; Chordata; Lepidosauria; Squamata; Lacertidae.
CAUAACAUGACCAUGAAUGAAAGCACACAGACUAAAGAACAACAAAUAUAGGGGCACCCCCCCAUAAUGUUCAGAGGGGAUUCGGCUCCAUCCUCUGGCCCCUUGCAACAUCACCCAUGUGUGACAUCAGGACAUCGCAUCAGGCCUCUUCAAUCAACUUGAAAAGAUGGCACCUCUGUCUCCAGGCAUUUUAAUAAAGAUAAACACAAGGUCAUAGAAAACAUAUAACUUCAUUCCAGGGAAAGUAGAAAUCCAGAAAAAGAAGUUAUCCUGGAAAUGAAUUGAGAGAUUCUAAUAACUAAAGGUAAGAAAGCUCUCGGUAUGAUUUUGGUCAAAUCCAGGUCUAAACAUGAACAGCUAAAAGGGAAGCAAACUAGCU